ACAUGCAAGUCGAGGGGCAGCAUGGUCUUAGCUUGCUAAGGCCGAUGGCGACCGGCGCACGGGUGAGUAACACGUAUCCAACCUGCCGUCUACUCUUGGACAGCCUUCUGAAAGGAAGAUUAAUACAAGAUGGCAUCAUGAGUCCGCAUGUUCACAUGAUUAAAGGUAUUCCGGUAGACGAUGGGGAUGCGUUCCAUUAGAUAGUAGGCGGGGUAACGGCCCACCUAGUCUUCGAUGGAUAGGGGUUCUGAGAGGAAGGUCCCCCACAUUGGAACUGAGACACGGUCCAAACUCCUACGGGAGGCAGCAGUGAGGAAUAUUGGUCAAUGGGCGAGAGCCUGAACCAGCCAAGUAGCGUGAAGGAUGACUGCCCUAUGGGUUGUAAACUUCUUUUAUAAAGGAAUAAAGUCGGGUAUGGAUACCCGUUUGCAUGUACUUUAUGAAUAAGGAUCGGCUAACUCCGUGCCAGCAGCCGCGGUAAUACGGAGGAUCCGAGCGUUAUCCGGAUUUAUUGGGUUUAAAGGGAGCGUAGAUGGAUGUUUAAGUCAGUUGUGAAAGUUUGCGGCUCAACCGUAAAAUUGCA
Molecule: ribosomal RNA, 583 nt
Filed under: uncultured bacterium
Lineage: Bacteria
Description: bacterial SSU rRNA
Rfam family: Bacterial small subunit ribosomal RNA
Source: RNAcentral